This 391-nucleotide unclassified non-coding RNA is filed under the name soil metagenome. RNAcentral describes it as "partial contains 5.8S ribosomal RNA, internal transcribed spacer 2, and large subunit ribosomal RNA". The stretch from base 1 to 122 matches the Rfam family "5.8S ribosomal RNA", at positions 35 to 154 of the family's 154-position model. The record is from RNAcentral.
GAUGAAGAACGUAGCGAAAUGUGAUACUUGGUGUGAAUUGCAGAAUCCCGUGAACCAUCGAGUCUUUGAACGCAAGUUGCGCCCGAAGCCAUUAGGCCGAGGGCACGCCUGCCUGGGCGUCACACGUCGUUGCCCCCCCAUCUACUCCUUCGGGAUUGCGGGGGGCGGAUGAUGGCCUCCCGUGCGCCUCGUCGCGCGGUUGGCAUAAAUGCCAAGUCCUCGGCGACGCACGCCACGACAAUCGGUGGUUGCGAAACCUCGGUUGCCCGUCGUGUGCGGUCGUCGCGCAUCGAGGGCUCGAAAAAAUUGCCGGGCUCCGGCUCGGCUUUCAACGCGACCUCAGGUCAGGCGGGGCUACCCGCUGAGUUUAAGCAUAUCAAUAAGCGGAGGA